RNAcentral lists this ribosomal RNA (253 nucleotides) under uncultured bacterium. RNAcentral describes it as "partial 16S ribosomal RNA". It matches the Rfam family "Bacterial small subunit ribosomal RNA", at positions 524 to 776 of the family's 1533-position model. The record is from RNAcentral.
UACGUAGGCAGCGAGCGUUGUUCGGAAUUACUGGGCGUAAAGAGUGUGUAGGCGGUGUUCCCAGUCUGUUGUGAAAUCUCCCGGCUUAACUGGGAGGGUGCAGCGGAAACUAGAAUGCUAGAGGGUGGGAGAGGUAAGCGGAAUUCCUGGUGUAGCGGUGGAAUGCGCAGAUAUCAGGAGGAACACCGGUGGCGAAGGCGGGUCUCUGGGCCGUUACUGACGCUGAGGAGCGAAAGCGUGGGGAGCGAACAGG